CAUUACCAAUUUUGCUGGGUAUCUCAUUUGUUAUUAUCGCUUAUUUGGUUUAUCAAAAUCGUCAACUCAAAGCAUCGAACACCCAAGCAAAGCAGGAGAAGGAAAAUGCAAACAAUAAUGCGAGAGAUAUCCAUGACAAUCCUGACAGAAAUGAUGCCAGCAGUUAUGAACAUGUAGACAAUGAACAGUCGUAUACAGGUCUUAAAAGGCUUGGAGAAGACAAAAAUUACGACAAUUUAUAUGGUCAUUUAAAUGAAGUACCGCGUGACUACGCAAAUCAAGAGGAAACUGGGAUUUAAUUA
Molecule: non-coding RNA, 302 nt
Organism: Paramuricea clavata
Lineage: Eukaryota; Metazoa; Cnidaria; Anthozoa; Malacalcyonacea; Plexauridae
Source: the annotation of a GenBank genome assembly